RNAcentral lists this long non-coding RNA (1581 nucleotides) under Lathyrus oleraceus (garden pea). Its description in RNAcentral is "Pisum sativum (pea) long non-coding RNA (PSAT_LNC040509)". The record is from RNAcentral. Lineage: Eukaryota; Viridiplantae; Streptophyta; Magnoliopsida; Fabales; Fabaceae.
CACCAUUCAAUCAAAUUUCAUAGGUUUAACAACAACAUUUUCAUCAUUCCCACAAUUCAUUCAAAUUUCAUGGGUUUAACAUUAUCAUUUUCAUCAUUCACACAGUUCAAUCAAAUUUCAGGGGUUUAACAUCAACAUUUCAUCAUUUCCACAAUUUAAUCAAAUUUCAUAGGCUUAACAACAACAUUUUCAUCAUUCACACAAUUCAAUCAAAUUUCAUAGGUUUAACAACAGCACUUUCAUCAUUCCCUUAAUUCAAUCAAAUUUCAUAGGUUUAACAUCAACAUUUUCAUCAUGCACACAAUUCAAUUUGAUUUUAAGGGUUUAACAAAAUAAUUUUUAUCAUUCAUAUAUUUCAAUCAAAUUUCAUGGUUUUAACAACAAUAUUUUCAUUUAAUCACACAAAUUAAUCAAAUUUCAUGGGUUUAACAUCAUCAUUUUCGUCAUUCACACAGUUCAAUCAAAUAUCAUGGGUUUAACAUCAACAUUCCAUCAUUUCCAUAAUUCAAUCAAAUUUCAUGGGUUUAACAACAACAUUUUCAUUUUUCACACAAUUCAAUCAAAUUUCUUGGGUUUAACAUCAACAUUUCAUCAUUUCCACCAUUCAAUAAAAUUUCAUAGGUUUAACAACAACUUUUUCAUCAUUCCCACAAUUCAUUCAAAUUUCAUGGGUUUAACAUCAACAUUUCAUCAUUUCCACAAUUCAAUCAAAUUUCAUAGGUUUAACAACAACAUUUUCAUAAUUUACACAAUUCAAUCAAAUUUUAUAGGUUUCACAACAACAUUUUCAUCAUCCCCAUAAUUCAACCAAAUUUCAUGGGUUUACCAAAAACAUUUUCAUCAUUCCCACAAUUCAAUCAAAUUUCAUGGGUUUAACAUCAACAUUUUAAUCAUUCCCAUAAUUCAAUCAAAUUUCAUGGGUUUAACAAAAACAUUUCUAUCAUUCACACAAUUCAGUCAAAUUUUAGGGGUUUAACAACAACAUUUUCAUCAUUCCCUUAAUUCAAUAAAAUUUCAUGGGUUUAACAUCAACAUUUUCAUCAUUCCCAUAAUUCAAUCAAAAUUCAUGUGUUUAAUAACAACAUUUCCAUUAUUCCGACAAUUCAAUCAAAUUUCAUGGGUUUAACAUCAACAUUUUCAUCAUUCCCAUAAUUCAAUCAAAAUUCAUGUGUUUAAUAACAACAUUUCCAUUAUUCCGACAAUUCAAUCAAAUUUCAUGGGUUUAACAACAAUAUUUUCAUUUUUCACACAAUUCAAUCAAAUUUCUUGGGUUUAACAUCAACAUUUCAUCAUUUCCACCAUUCAAUCAAAUUUCAUAGGUUUUACAACAACAUUUUCAUCAUUCCCACAAUUCAUUCAAAUUUCAUGGGUUUAACAUUAUCAUUUUCAUCAUUCACACAGUUCAAUCAAAUUUCAUGGGUUUAACAUCAACAUUUCAUCAUUUCCACAACUCAAUCAGAUUUCAUAGGUUUAACAACAACAUUUUCAUCAUUCCCACAAUUCAAUCAAAUUUCAUAGGUUUAACAACAUCACUUUCAUCAUUCCCUUAAGUCAAUCAAAUUUCAUCGGUUUAACAUCGAC